RNAcentral lists this ribosomal RNA (253 nucleotides) under uncultured bacterium. RNAcentral describes it as "partial 16S ribosomal RNA". It matches the Rfam family "Bacterial small subunit ribosomal RNA", at positions 524 to 776 of the family's 1533-position model. The record is from RNAcentral.
UACGUAGGGUGCGAGCGUUGUCCGGAAUUACUGGGCGUAAAGAGCUUGUAGGUGGUUUGUCGCGUUGUUCGUGAAAUCUCACGGCUUAACUGUGAGCGUGCGGGCGAUACGGGCAGACUAGAGUACUGCAGGGGAGACUGGAAUUCCUGGUGUAGCGGUGGAAUGCGCAGAUAUCAGGAGGAACACCGGUGGCGAAGGCGGGUCUCUGGGCAGUAACUGACGCUGAGACGCGAAAGCGUGGGGAGCGAACAGG